Molecule: small nuclear RNA, 94 nt
Filed under: Marmota monax (woodchuck)
Lineage: Eukaryota; Metazoa; Chordata; Mammalia; Rodentia; Sciuridae
Source: RNAcentral
GUAAGCGGCUUACUUAAACUAAAAUUGAAACAAUAGAUUAGCAUGGUCCUUGUGCAAGAAUGACACGCAAAUUUAUGAAAUGUUCCAUAUUUUC